GCUAGUUAGCACUUUUUUUUCUGGCUUCUUGAGAAUGACUCGAAAAAAUUGUUCAAAUUUAACAUGUAAUGUCACUGUCUAGGACCGCAAUUGAUUUUUAAAAAAGUUAACUUUAACGCAAGGAAUCUGCACAAACUGUACACGCUCACUAAAUUGAUCAAGGGAUGGACUGAAAUGAUUACAUAGAGUUAAGUGACAUUUACGCAUUUGGCAGACGGUUUUAUCCAAAGCAGCUUACAUUGCAUUAUCCUAUACAUUUAUACAUAGGCAUCUACAAUCAGGGGCGAUGAAGCUUCAUGUGACAUUUGUCAUAAAACAAUAGACCACUGUGGUAAUACCACAAAUGUGAUAAAGCAUCUCAAAGUAAAACACCCCAAAGAGCAUGACGAAGUACAGCUGAGGCGAGCAGAGGAGGUAACAGAGACAAGACCCUCAUCUUCUGGCUUGAGGCAGAGUUAUUUAGCAGAAUCCUUUCAGAAAAGCAGACAUUAUCCAGGUACCAACCAAGUGCAAGUGGUGAUAAGGUUAUUUGAAUACAAAAAGUCGAGUCACAUUUAUUUAUAUAAUUUAUACAACACAUAUUAUUUCAGAUAUGAAUAUAUUGCAGUAGCCUAAUUCAAGGGGAGCAGAAUAUUACACUGCAUAUGAGUAUUUAAGAAAGACUAGACAUUUUAGUUUAAACUAGGAUUUUUAUAAAAACUUGUUUUGGCCUAUACCUAUUUCUGUUAGCCAGUAUCUGGUGGAUAUUCUUAAUUAAAUAAUUUAUGUAUUAUUUAUAUAAUUUAAAACUUGUUUAUUAAAUAAAUUACGUUUAAGUAUCAAGUAAUAGCUGGGAGAAAUUAAAUAUAAAUUCUUACUGCCUGUAACAUAGCUUUAAGAACUUAUAUUUAUAUAUUUUAUACUUCAUAGAUGACUGUCAGAGAGCAUCGGCAAUUACAAGAAGCAUAGGAGAGAUGAUCGUGAGGGACCUCCAGCCAAUCUCAGUGGUAGAAGACAGAGGAUUUAUUUGUCAAGACUCUUGAUCCACGCUACCAAAUCCCAAGCCGGAAAAAGCUGAUGGGGGAUACAAUAAACAACAUGUAUGAAGACUGUAAAGCCAAAGUAAUGGCAACAUUACGAAAUGUAAACCAUGUGAUACUCACGACGGAUAUGUGGACCUCAAGGUCCACAGAGGCAUAUCUUACUGUGUCGUGUCAUUUUAUUCACAAUUGGCAAAUGCAGGAAUUUGUGUUAGAAACCGACAAUUUGAGUGCUCAGCAUACAGCUGACAAUAUUAAUGCAGAGCUGAAAAGAAUAGCUGAAGAAUGGGGCAUAACUCAAAAGGUGCUUGCAGUUGUCACAGACAACGGUGCGAAUAUGGUUUCUGCAGUUCACAAGGCUGGGUGGAAGCAUUACCCAUGUUUUGCCCAUACAUUAAACUUGUUGGUCAAAGAUGCAAUUAAAGGAUCUCCUGAGAUCUUUCACUUGCUGGAAAAAUUCAGAAGUAUUGUAUCAUUUUUCCACCACAGCACAAAAUCCACAGAGAAGCUUAAACAUACCCAAAAGCAGCUGAAGGUGACAGAACAUAAACUCAUUAUUUCAGUUGAAACCAGGUCGAAUUCAGCUUUCUACAUGUUGGAGAGGCUACAUGAACAAAUGGAUCCAGUUACAACAGCCCUCUGUCUACUCGGGAAGAGUGACCUGUGCUCUCAAAUGAAGAGCGGGCAGUUAUUAACCUCACCAUUGAGGUCUUGAAACCUUUUGAGGAGGCAACACGUGAAGUAUCAGCAGAGAAGCACAUUUCUAUCUCAAAGGUCAUUCCCCUAUUAUCACUGCUUCUUAGAGCAACUGCUGCGAGUGAGCGUCAAGGUUGCUCUUUUGCCAGAGAACUAGCACAGCAAUGUCAGCGAAGAUUCUGUGGGGUUGAAACCAUACACAGCCUCGCUGCCAGCACCUUUCUUGACAUGAGGUUUAAGCACCUGACAUUUCGUGACAUAGAUCAGGUAGAAACAGUGAAAAAGCGACUCCUAUCUGAAAUGCAGGAUGUCUAUUUGGCCACGUAUGAGUCAGCUGCUGCUCCACUAGAAUCUACCUCAACAUCUGUCCCAAGGUCUUUGUCAGUACCUACAGCAAGCUGUGCCUCAUCAGUGACUCCUCCAAUGACCCGAAGUACUGCAUCAGCUACGUCUAAAGGAGGCAUAUGGGUGGAUUUUAACGUCCAGGUUAUAUCAGCACAACAACAACAAUCGGAAAGCAGUGAUGCUAUAGUUGAAAUGCGUCGCUAUGCUGAGGAGAAAGUAGUUCCCUGAAACGAAGACCCACUAGUUUGGUUUAGAAAUCAUGUGCAAACCUUCCCAACUCUCAGCAAACUAGCAAAAAAAUAUCUUGGGAUCACUACAUCAUCUGUUCCGUCUGAGAGAAUUUUCUCAAAGGCAGGGGAGUUGAUCAGUCAAAGAAGAAACAGGCUAAAGGGGAAGAAUGUGAAUAUUCUCUUGUUCCUUUACAAAAACUUAUAAACCAGUUUUCAUGGUUUACACAAGCUUGUAUAUCAGUAUGCAAUGAAGAUUGCGACUUAAAUGUAAGAUUCAACCUGAAGUUCAGCUGAUUUGACAUUUAAAUAAUUUGAAGUGUUUGUAGCCUCUCAGACAUCCCUGGUUUGAUUUUCAGCGCAUUCCAGACCAUUGACUUUUAUAAGUUAUUUUAUCAUUUAUUAUUUGUUAGGUAUGUUUUGUUUAUUUUUUCAAAAGCAAGAGAUUUUGAUCGGUCAAAGAAAAACAGGAUAAGGAGGUUUAUUCCUUAUGCUGGAUAAGGAUAAGUUGUUUAUUCUCCAAAACCUAUAAAGGGAAUAAAAAUGUUUGUGAGAAGUGUAACAUUUUUUUGAUAUAUAGCCUACAGUGUUAUCUUUGCUUAUUCCAUUAAUAAUGUUCAUUAUUCUUAAUAAAUGUAAAAAAAAAGAAUCAUGUCCAUUGCAGUUUAUUUAAUAUUCAUAUCACUCACAUAAAAAUAUUACGUUGGAGUAUUGGUAUCGGUAUCGAUAUCGACGAUACUUGGCUUUCAAGUACUUGGUAUCGGAUCGAAAAGAAAAUAAUUGGUAUCGCCCAUCCCUAGUCUGCGCUCGAUGCGGCUGCCUCCUCUCCCCUCCCACUCAGAACACCGACUUUGAGUGUGACCGGAUGAUGAUUGGCUGUUCUGCCUUAAGUCCCGCCUCUCUUGGUGUGUUAGAUUUAUCGGUUAGCUCGUGCUGAGGAGGCGGGAACGGUUAUGGUUAUUUACGUCUUCCUUUUCCAGCGACUUUGAAUGAGUGUUUAUGCUUUUGAGGUUUUUAAAUAACCUUGAUAUGUGUUUGGGGAGAUGUUCUGUUUAUGUUUGUUGAUAUGUCGAGUGAUUUCUGAAUUAUAUUUAGGUUUUAGACUAAUGCUAAUUGCAAAUUGGGAUAUUGUUCAGAAAUAGCUAAAUUCAGUUAUUUAUGUGGCAUGCAAUGUAUAAAGUAACUGUGAUGAAGAAGGCAGGGAAUUGACGAGGAGGAGGGACAAAUUGUCCUUGUCAAGCAGUUUAUUUAUGGGUUUAUUGAUUUUGAUAUUUUGAACAUUGCUUUUUUUGUUUAGCUGAAUACUUUUGUGGAUACUUACCUAUUAUAUUUGAUUGUACCUGUUGAAGAACUAUGAACGAAGAGUGUAUAUUAUUUUAAUGUUUAAAAUCAGAAAAUUGUUACAUUAUUUAUACCACCAAAGAAAACGCUUUUUGUGGGCGUUUUUUUAAUAUCUAUUUUCAAGGUGCAAGUAAGCAAACUUUAGCGGUCACAGUCCUGUCAGACCAAUGUCACUAUCAAGCUUUCCACUGUCUUUCUCCCCUGGGAUAAUUAAAGUAUUUAUGAUUCAUUAGCAAGUCUACUGUUGUGUAUUUUCACUACAGAGUUUUGACUUAUUUUCUGUGUGUUCCAAAUGUGUUUUUAUACUUUACUAGUAUCACACAUUUAAACGGGAAGCUUUUUAUAUCUUGUAUGUUAUACCUUUUGUACCGUUCUGUCAUUACAUUCAACGUUUUCAUUGUUAACAAACAGACACAUCCAUCCCCCGCACUUUUGAAAAGCUUGCUACGCCCCUGCUUGUCACAAUGAAUCUGCGCAGCGCUUUUUUAGAGUUUAGCAGUUUUGUUAGAGUUAUGUUGUUUGUCAGGAAAGUGGAUCACACAAGCCAGAUUUGAGUAAAGCUGCGUAAGCUAAACUUGAGCUAAUUUAUUACUUGGCAGCUCAUGAGUUACAGCAAGACAACUUGCUCAUAAACUCACAUACAGAUGCUUUUAUCUUUUGGAUAGUUAGCUGUAAAUCAUGUGAUGGCUUAAUGUUUUAUCAUUACUUACUGCACACCAAGACAAAAACAACUGGAAUAGGGUGGCUUCACAUCUUUGGUUCUCUGACUGUGCUGUGCCUGUCUGCGAUGUGCCAUGUGUGCUCCAUCAUCCUCAAUACACACUGACUGACUACUGCGCAGGCACGUGAGUGGAGAAAGGCAUCUGAACUGACAGUCUUUUAACAUUUCCCGACCAUAUUCAGAUUUGUUUAAAGCCGUGCGCAAACAGAAGCAUGCACAUACAUAUAUAUUAACAAACUACAGCAUGUGUUUAACAGGGCUGAUGACAGUGACAGCAUGAGACUCAAAGGCGAUGUUGUUGUAUGAGGGUACCGGGUGUUUGAAUUUCCAGUCGUUAGGAAAAAGUAGACCGGUUCCUCCACCCCUCCCUGAUAUGCGUGGGCUGUGGGAGAAAGUGUAAUUAUUGGAGAGGGCAGCCGGUGUGGCAUUGUCCUCUGGUUUGAUCCAGGUUUCAGUAAGUGCUAAAAGAGAAAGACCAGAAUGUUUGGCAAUUGCUGUGAUGAAAUCUGCCUUGUUUACAGCAGAUUGCCAGUUCCAUAAACCAAUGGGAAAUGUAAUAGAGGUAGUUUUGGAUUCUGAAAGAGUGCGCAGAUUGUUAGCAUUAGCCAUGCGUGGCCUUCUACAUGUUACCAGUGAUUUACGAGUUGUAAUGACAGUAGGGAUUUGAAAACACAUAUUGAAAAAUGAAGAAAUGUACAAGACAAAUAAAGAAAAGAGAAUAAAGAUAAUAAAUAAAGUGCAAUAGUCGAAGUGCAAAAUAUUAAUACUCAAGUGCCUUGUCGGUGUCCUUGUUAGAUGGAUUUGCACAGAGUCGAUGGUCUUUACUCUCUUCGGUCUUCAAGCGAUGAGGGCUGCACGCUGUGGUUAAUCGCACGUAUAUAUCCAAUUAAAUCACGCAAUUGAAUUCAGCAGGACACUCCUUCCAAUAUCUCCCAAUAACAUGUGAAAAAAAGGCAAACUAACAGCACAUGACUCAGCGGACGCACACAAUGGAAACGAAACUGCGUUAGACUAAAUAAGACACUAUUAAUCAAUUAUACUUACAAGUUUCAGUUGAUUUUUAAGCUGUAACAAACUGCUUCUCCCUAACUAUCCUGCAGGCUUUGCUGUGACAGUGUCACAAAGUUUACUCAACUUUGGGACCUGAGGUUUUCAUAACUCUGUUUUCUCAAUGAAGUCACAUGUAUUUUAACACACACACAAUGUUAAAUGAAUCCAAUUUUCGAAUGAAUAUUAGGAGCCUACAUGUCUGAGUUUACUCAACUAAGAAAAUCAAGUCCACCCAACAUUACUUUCUUAUGCAAAACACUGAAAACCGUUGGUAGUCAUAUAAUUAUAUUGUAUGGAUACAAUACCAAUGACAAAAAAAUGGGGACAAACGUUUUUUCAAAAUAUCUUCUUUUGUGAGAAGAAAGUCAAACAGGUUUGGAAUGACACAAGGGGCCCUAUUUUAACGAUCUGAAACGCAAGUGUCAAAGCGCAAGUAACUUUGUGGGCGGGUCUCGGCACUGUUGCUAUUUUCCCGUAGGAUAAAUGGCUCUUGCGCCUUGCGCAAAUCUAAAAUGGGUUGGUUUGAAGUAGCUUCAUUAUUCAUAGAUGUGGUUUGGGCAUAACGUGAAAUAAACCAAUCAGAGCGUCACCCAACAUUCCCUUUAAAAGCAGGUGCGCAAGUUCCAUUAUGGAUUGCUAUUAUUAUGGCGUAUUUACCAGGCGCACGCCAGGAGCGGUUCACAGCCGAGGAGACUGAUGUUCUUGUAAGAGCAGUGAAAGACAGAGAAGUUGUGUUGUAUGGGGAUGGGAGAAACCCACCCAAAAUAGCGUCGGUUAAACAGGCGUGGGAGGAAAUAGCCAAAAUUGUUUCAUCAGCUUCAUCACUAUCCCCAGGACGAUGCCAGCUACAAUGACAUCAGAAGACGGGGAAAGUCCGAGCUUGCCAGCAUCAAUCGGGCACGCCGUGUAACGGGAGGUGGAUCUGCCUCUACUCAGGACCUGACGCCAGCAGAGGACAUCGCUGCGUCCACCCUCACCGCUGAAAGCAGUCCAACCCCAAGCUUCGCAGGAAGACCCUGGCCUAGUGAGCCGUGCGCAUGGGCCAUCUGAGACAGGAUGCCGUCUUGACAGGAUGGCGAUGUUGCUGCGGCCUCUCGGGCGCAUCUCCUCAAGCCUGGAGAGGAUUGCUGCAGCCAUGGAGCGUGGCCCUUCAAGCGCACUACCACCUCCUGUUGUGCCUCUUCCUCCUUCCCCCACUCCAUCUCCAUCCACCCGUUCCACCAGGCGCACAUCGCGCAAUGCCAUUCCCGGACCCUCAGGUGUCCAAUCCCGCCGUGGCGCGCGUUGCAAAACUACCAGAGGAGGGAAAAAGAAAUGAACUUUUUCUGUUUAAAUAUUUUUAACCUCAUUUUCCAUUUGUAUUUUUUUUUUAUCAAUUACUGUUUGCUAUUGAUUUUUCUUUUUGACAAAAUACAAAUAAAUUUCACAAAUAAAUACUUUUGAAUGUU
Molecule: long non-coding RNA, 6847 nt
Organism: Triplophysa dalaica
Lineage: Eukaryota; Metazoa; Chordata; Actinopteri; Cypriniformes; Nemacheilidae
Exons: 2
Source: RefSeq, a predicted model, not a curated record